GGAGGANCCGAGCGUUAUCCGGAUUUAUUGGGUUUAAAGGGUGCGUAGGCGGAUUAGUAAGUCAGAGGUGAAAGCUCGAUGCUCAACAUNAAAAUUGCCUCUGAUACUGUUAGUCUAGAGUAUAGUUGCGGAAGGCGGAAUGUGUGGUGUAGCGGUGAAAUGCNUAGAUAUCACNCAGAACACCGAUUGCGAAGGCAGCUUUCCAAGCUAUAACUGACGCUGAUGCACGAAAGCGUGGGGANCNNACAGGAUUAGAUACCCUGGUAGUCCACGCNGUANACGAUGAUNACUCGNUGCANGCGAUACACAGUAAUGUGNCUCAGCGAANGCGUUNAGUUAUCCACCUGGGGAGU
RNAcentral lists this ribosomal RNA (353 nucleotides) under uncultured bacterium. RNAcentral's name for it is "partial 16S ribosomal RNA". It matches the Rfam family "Bacterial small subunit ribosomal RNA", at positions 527 to 881 of the family's 1533-position model. The record is from RNAcentral.